This 86-nucleotide ribosomal RNA is filed under the name Pseudomonas sp. ATCC 13867. Lineage: Bacteria; Pseudomonadati; Pseudomonadota; Gammaproteobacteria; Pseudomonadales; Pseudomonadaceae. The record is from RNAcentral.
CUUGACGACCAUAGAGCGUUGGAACCACCUGAUCCCAUCCCGAACUCAGUAGUGAAACGAUGCAUCGCCGAUGGUAGUGUGGGGUU